UCCUACAUGGUCUAGUGGCUAGGAUACCUAGAUUUCACCCAGGAGGCCCGGGUUCGAUUCCCGGCGUGGGAA
RNAcentral lists this transfer RNA (72 nucleotides) under Cordylochernes scorpioides. Its description in RNAcentral is "tRNA-Glu". It matches the Rfam family "tRNA". From Rfam's summary of the family: Transfer RNA (tRNA) molecules are approximately 80 nucleotides in length. Their secondary structure includes four short double-helical elements and three loops (D, anti-codon, and T loops). Lineage: Eukaryota; Metazoa; Arthropoda; Arachnida; Pseudoscorpiones; Chernetidae. The record is from RNAcentral.